UACGUAGGGUGCAAGCGUUGUCCGGAAUUAUUGGGCGUAAAGAGCUCGUAGGCGGUCUGUCGCGUCGGCUGUGAAACCCGGAGCUCAACUCCGGGCCUGCAGUCGAUACGGGCAGACUGGAGUUCGGCAGGGGAGACUGGAAUUCCUGGUGUAGCGGUGAAAUGCGCAGAUAUCAGGAGGAACACCGGUGGCGAAGGCGGGUCUCGUAGGCCGAUGACUGACGCUGAGGAGCGAAAGCGUGGGGAGCGAACAGG
This 254-nucleotide ribosomal RNA is filed under the name uncultured bacterium. RNAcentral describes it as "partial 16S ribosomal RNA". It matches the Rfam family "Bacterial small subunit ribosomal RNA", at positions 524 to 776 of the family's 1533-position model. The record is from RNAcentral.